AGUGAACGCUGGCGGUAGGCCUAACACAUGCAAGUCGAACGGCAGCACAGUAAGAGCUUGCUCUUACGGGUGGCGAGUGGCGGACGGGUGAGGAAUACAUCGGAAUCUACUUUUUCGUGGGGGAUAACGUAGGGAAACUUACGCUAAUACCGCAUACGACCUACGGGUGAAAGCAGGGGAUCUUCGGACCUUGCGCGAUUGAAUGAGCCGAUGUCGGAUUAGCCAGUUGGCGGGGUAAAGACCCACCAAGGCGACGAUCCGUAGCUGGUCUGAGAGGAUGAUCAGCCACACUGGAACUGAGACACGGUCCAGACUCCUACGGGAGGCAGCAGUGGGGAAUAUUGGACAAUGGGCGCAAGCCUGAUCCAGCCAUACCGCGUGGGUGAAGAAGGCCUUCGGGUUGUAAAGCCCUUUUGUUGGGAAAGAAAAGCAGCAGGUUAAGACCCCGCUGUUCUGACGGUACCCAAAGAAUAAGCACCGGCUAACUUCGU
Molecule: ribosomal RNA, 491 nt
Filed under: uncultured bacterium
Lineage: Bacteria
Description: partial 16S ribosomal RNA
Rfam family: Bacterial small subunit ribosomal RNA
Source: RNAcentral